UUUUUGUGAAAGAAUGGGAAUAGAACGUAGCUUCACCAGCCCGUACCCCCCACAAACCAAUGGAUUGGUUGAAAACGCUAAUAAAUCCAUAAAAAGAGCAUUGCGAAAGAUGGUUGAUGACAAUGGGAGUAAUUGGGAUAAAUUACUUGACCCCAUUUUGUUUUCUUUGAGGACUAAAAUACACGCAUCAACAAAAAUGUCACCAUUUCGACUAAUGUUUUGUGCAGACCCACGGUUUCCAGAAGAAGUCUCAGAGAAUUACACAGUAAGUGUAUGUUAUUACCAGCACCUUUCAUGUACACAUGGCAUUAACUGUGUCUUCAUUUUACAAAUACAACCCCUUCUCCAUAAUUUUCCAAAGAUCCCAGAUCUGGAUACACCUGAGGAAGAAUGCUGCAAAGACUACAGCAUCAACAGGAAAUCGAGACAUGAGGCUGACAUUGCACUGGCCCUAAGUAACAUUUCUAAAGCACAAGAAAAGCAACAAAGAAAUUAUGCUAAAAGAAAGAUUUCUAAAUAUGGGGAAAUAACCUUUGCUGUUGGUGACUCUGUUCUGUUACUGAAUGCUAGAAAGAGAACAAGAAAAGGAGCAGUACUGGAAUCUAACUAUCGGGGACCAUACAAAAUUACAACCGUUGAGGGUAAGAGAGUGAAAUUAGAAACCAUCUCAGGAAAACAGUUAGGAACCAUGUACAGUAUUGCACACUUCAAACCAUUCAAAGAGCCACCAACAUUAGCUGCUGAAAGCACAUCAGAGGGAAAACUCGGAACUGAAAUUGCAGUUGGUGACACUGAACCAGAAAUACCCACAGAAGAAAUUAGAAAAGUGGUUGGUACUGUAUCUCACGACAGCACAUUAAAAAACAUAGAGGUCACAGCAAUGGAAGAGGAGGAGUAUAUAGGGCAAGAUGUUUCAAAGAAUGAUACAAGUGAUGCGGAUGACAUUUUUGAUGACGUGCUUAUGGAGGACGUGGAAAACAAGCAAUGGAUUCUGAAAGGUAAUUGGUUACUGCACAUUUCUUAAGCAGAUUAAAAUACUUCAUAAAUGGAACUAUGUUAAAGGUUUUCAUGUACAAAAUGGUGGCAUUCACAGUAGUAAAACAGAAAAAGGAAACUGUAUUCCCAUGCAUGUAAUAUGUGUUAAUA
This 1146-nucleotide long non-coding RNA is filed under the name Chrysemys picta bellii (western painted turtle). RNAcentral's name for it is "lncRNA (ENSCPBG00000017285.1)". The record is from RNAcentral. Lineage: Eukaryota; Metazoa; Chordata; Testudines; Emydidae.